This 999-nucleotide ribosomal RNA is filed under the name Listeria monocytogenes. RNAcentral describes it as "bacterial LSU rRNA". It matches the Rfam family "Bacterial large subunit ribosomal RNA", at positions 1929 to 2925 of the family's 2925-position model. Lineage: Bacteria; Bacillati; Bacillota; Bacilli; Caryophanales; Listeriaceae. The record is from RNAcentral.
GGCGGCCGUAACUAUAACGGUCCUAAGGUAGCGAAAUUCCUUGUCGGGUAAGUUCCGACCCGCACGAAAGGCGCAACGAUCUGGGCACUGUCUCAACGAGAGACUCGGUGAAAUUAUAGUACCUGUGAAGAUGCAGGUUACCCGCGACAGGACGGAAAGACCCCGUGGAGCUUUACUGCAACCUGAUAUGGAAUGUUUGUACCGCUUGUACAGGAUAGGUAGGAGCCGAAGAGACGUGUGCGCUAGCAUACGAGGAGGCAAUGGUGGGAUACUACCCUGGCUGUAUGACCAUUCUAACCCGCCACGCUUAGCGCGUGGGGAGACAGUGUCAGGUGGGCAGUUUGACUGGGGCGGUCGCCUCCUAAAGAGUAACGGAGGCGCCCAAAGGUUCCCUCAGAAUGGAUGGAAAUCAUUCGCAGAGUGUAAAGGCACAAGGGAGCUUGACUGCGAGACUGACAAGUCGAGCAGGGACGAAAGUCGGGCUUAGUGAUCCGGUGGUUCCGCAUGGAAGGGCCAUCGCUCAACGGAUAAAAGCUACCCCGGGGAUAACAGGCUUAUCUCCCCCAAGAGUCCACAUCGACGGGGAGGUUUGGCACCUCGAUGUCGGCUCGUCGCAUCCUGGGGCUGUAGUCGGUCCCAAGGGUUGGGCUGUUCGCCCAUUAAAGCGGCACGCGAGCUGGGUUCAGAACGUCGUGAGACAGUUCGGUCCCUAUCCGUCGCGGGCGCAGGAAAUUUGAGAGGAGCUGUCCUUAGUACGAGAGGACCGGGAUGGACACACCGCUGGUGUACCAGUUGUUCCGCCAGGAGCAUCGCUGGGUAGCUAUGUGUGGCAGGGAUAAACGCUGAAAGCAUCUAAGCGUGAAGCCCCCCUCAAGAUGAGAUUUCCCAUUUCUUCGGAAAGUAAGAUCCCUGAAAGAUGAUCAGGUAGAUAGGUUUGGAGUGGAAGUGUAGCGAUACAUGGAGCGGACAAAUACUAAUCGAUCGAGGACUUAACCAAAA